This is a non-coding RNA of Paenibacillus alvei DSM 29, 183 nucleotides long. NCBI's taxonomy places the organism in Bacteria, Bacillati, Bacillota, Bacilli, Caryophanales, Paenibacillaceae. The record is from Rfam.
UACAUCCUGCGAUGUACGUGUAGGCUUACGUUGUUUUGAACCAAUGUUUGUUUCUAGGGAGUUCAACAUCUAAGCAUUGCUGGCAAGCCCUCUCCGAAGGGACGUCAAAUGUGCUUAUGUGGACACCCACCUGCGAGAGCGGGUUCAGAAGCAUAGGAGCUGAACGGCAUAGGCGGGUUUUCU